RNAcentral lists this ribosomal RNA (326 nucleotides) under uncultured eukaryote. RNAcentral describes it as "partial 18S ribosomal RNA". It matches the Rfam family "Eukaryotic small subunit ribosomal RNA", at positions 1470 to 1796 of the family's 1831-position model. The record is from RNAcentral.
CCCUUAGAUGUUCUGGGCCGCACGCGCGCUACACUGAUGCAUUCAACAAGCCUAGCCUUGACCGAGAGGUCCGGGUAAUCUUUGAAACUGCAUCGUGAUGGGGCUAGAUUAUUGCAAUUAUUAAUCUUCAACGAGGAAUGCCUAGUAAGCGUGAUUCAUCAAAUCGCGUUGAUUACGUCCCUGCCCUUUGUACACACCGCCCGUCGCUCCUACCGAUUGAACGUUUUAGUGAGGUACUCGGACUGAGCCUCAGAAGAUUCACGUCUUUUGUGCUGCUCGGGAAGAUUCCCAAACUUGAGCGUUUAGAGGAAGUAAAAGUCGUAACA